UGGGGGUUAGCCAAGUCGGUAAGGCCCAUGAGUUUGACACAUGUAUGCGUAGGUGAGAGUGCUGCAUCCCCAGCCA
Molecule: transfer RNA, 76 nt
Filed under: Clostridioides difficile
Lineage: Bacteria; Bacillati; Bacillota; Clostridia; Peptostreptococcales; Peptostreptococcaceae
Description: tRNA-Gln
Source: RNAcentral